This 94-nucleotide ribosomal RNA is filed under the name Chodatodesmus mucronulatus. RNAcentral describes it as "partial 5.8S ribosomal RNA". It matches the Rfam family "5.8S ribosomal RNA", at positions 69 to 154 of the family's 154-position model. Rfam says of the family: 5.8S ribosomal RNA (5.8S rRNA) is a component of the large subunit of the eukaryotic ribosome. It is transcribed by RNA polymerase I as part of the 45S precursor that also contains 18S and 28S rRNA. Functionally, it is thought that 5.8S rRNA may be involved in ribosome translocation. The record is from RNAcentral. Lineage: Eukaryota; Viridiplantae; Chlorophyta; Chlorophyceae; Sphaeropleales; Scenedesmaceae.
GAAUUGCAGAAUUCCGUGAACCAUCGAAUCUUUGAACGCAUAUUGCGCUCGAGCCCUCGGGCAAGAGCAUGUCUGCCUCAGCGUCGGUUUACAC